CGGUAACUCCGAGUCCUGCGAAGGAGAGGAGUAACGGCUGGUUGGCGCAGCCAGCAGUCCGUCUGUUCGAUAAAUACACCGGCGUAGUAGCCGGCCGAGAACAGGUUGCUGACUGCAAACCAUAAUAUCCCAACGCCCGUGAAUCCUACGGCUUCAGCCGUAGGA
Molecule: non-coding RNA, 165 nt
Filed under: Halopiger xanaduensis SH-6
Lineage: Archaea; Methanobacteriati; Methanobacteriota; Halobacteria; Halobacteriales; Natrialbaceae
Description: Sense overlapping transcript RNA 0042 (sot)
Rfam family: Sense overlapping transcript RNA 0042 (sot)
About the family: It is associated with IS1341-type transposase (tnpB) genes, at the 3'-end in H. salinarum NRC-1. The tetraloop structural motif may be functional.
Source: Rfam by way of RNAcentral